UACGUAGGGAGCAAGCGUUGUCCGGAAUCAUUGGGCGUACAGCGCGCGUCGGUGGCCAUGUAAGUCCGCUGUGAAAGUCAAAGGCUCAACCUUUGAAAGCCGGUGGAUACUGCAUGGCUAGAGUACGGAAGAGGCGAGUGGAAUUCCUGGUGUAGCGGUGGAAUGCGCAGAUAUCAGGAGGAACACCAAUAGCGAAGGCAGCUCGCUGGGACGUUACUGACACUGAGGCGCGAAAGCGUGGGGAGCGAACAGG
RNAcentral lists this ribosomal RNA (253 nucleotides) under uncultured bacterium. RNAcentral describes it as "partial 16S ribosomal RNA". It matches the Rfam family "Bacterial small subunit ribosomal RNA", at positions 524 to 776 of the family's 1533-position model. The record is from RNAcentral.